This 471-nucleotide ribosomal RNA is filed under the name Triticum aestivum (bread wheat). RNAcentral's name for it is "partial small subunit ribosomal RNA". The record is from RNAcentral. Lineage: Eukaryota; Viridiplantae; Streptophyta; Magnoliopsida; Poales; Poaceae.
AUGGUCCAAAUAUCGUCCCUGAUCCACAACGGAGAUGGUAGACUGAGUAGCAUGCCCUACAUACCAGCAGACCUCACAAACCUAAAGGCAAAGUACCGUAUAGAGAGCAGGUUGGCUGACAUAUAAGUCGCGAUAGCCUACUUUGAAGAGAAAGCAAAAGCAGAUGCUGAUUUCUUCUACAGGAUAAGAUUGGACGAUGAGGACCGUGUCAGAAACAUGUAUUGGGUGGAUGGUGCUGCAAGAAGGGCCUACAAACAUUUCCGUGAUUGCAUAUCAUUCGACGCGACAUAUCUCACUAAUAUGUACAAGAUGCCCUGCGCUCCAUUCAUAGGAAUAAAUAACCACAAUCAAUCAUUGCAGCUCGGUUGUGGACUCGUUCGUAACAAAGAUACGGAUGGUUACACUUGGCUGUUCAAAACCUUCUUGGAGUGCAUGGAUGAGCUUGCUCCGAUGAACAUAAUAACAGACUAG